UCCCUGGUGGCUCAGAGGUUAAAGCGUCUGCUUGCAAUGCAGGAGACCCAGGUUCAAUCCCUGGGUCAGGAAG
This 73-nucleotide transfer RNA is filed under the name Ovis aries (sheep). RNAcentral describes it as "tRNA-Cys (GCA) (tRNA-Cys-GCA-20-1)". It matches the Rfam family "tRNA". From Rfam's summary of the family: Transfer RNA (tRNA) molecules are approximately 80 nucleotides in length. Their secondary structure includes four short double-helical elements and three loops (D, anti-codon, and T loops). Lineage: Eukaryota; Metazoa; Chordata; Mammalia; Artiodactyla; Bovidae. The record is from RNAcentral.